AACGAACGCUGGCGGCAUGCCUAACACGUGCAAGUCGAACGAGACCUUCGGGUCUAGUGGCGCACGGGUGCGUAACGCGUGGGAACCUGCCCUUAGGUUCGGAAUAACUCCCCGAAAGGGGUGCUAAUACCGGAUAAUGUCUUCGGACCAAAGAUUUAUCGCCUUUGGAUGGGCCCGCGUUGGAUUAGCUAGUUGGUAGGGUAAAAGCCUACCAAGGCGACGAUCCAUAGCUGGUCUGAGAGGAUGAUCAGCCACACUGGGACUGAGAUACGGCCCAGACUCCUACGGGAGGCAGCAGUGGGGAAUAUUGGACAAUGGGCGAAAGCCUGAUCCAGCAAUGCCGCGUGAGUGAUGAAGGCCUUAGGGUUGUAAAGCUCUUUUACCCGGGAUGAUAAUGACAGUACCGGGAGAAUAAGCUCCGGCUAACUCCGUG
RNAcentral lists this ribosomal RNA (433 nucleotides) under uncultured bacterium. RNAcentral's name for it is "partial 16S ribosomal RNA". It matches the Rfam family "Bacterial small subunit ribosomal RNA", at positions 29 to 507 of the family's 1533-position model. The record is from RNAcentral.